RNAcentral lists this ribosomal RNA (1398 nucleotides) under Pedobacter cryoconitis. RNAcentral describes it as "bacterial SSU rRNA". It matches the Rfam family "Bacterial small subunit ribosomal RNA". The record is from RNAcentral. Lineage: Bacteria; Pseudomonadati; Bacteroidota; Sphingobacteriia; Sphingobacteriales; Sphingobacteriaceae.
UACAUGCAGUCGAACGAUACUCUUUAGCUUGCUAGAGAGGAAAGUGGCGCACGGGUGCGUAACGCGUAUGCAACCUACCUUAAUCAGGGGGAUAGCCCGAAGAAAUUCGGAUUAACACCGCAUAAAAUCACAGUAUAGCAUUAUACAAUGAUCAAAUAUUUAUAGGAUUAAGAUGGGCAUGCGUGACAUUAGUUAGUUGGCGGGGUAACGGCCCACCAAGACCACGAUGUCUAGGGGAUCUGAGAGGAUGACCCCCCACACUGGUACUGAGACACGGACCAGACUCCUACGGGAGGCAGCAGUAAGGAAUAUUGGUCAAUGGAGGCAACUCUGAACCAGCCAUGCCGCGUGCAGGAAGACAGCCCUCUGGGUCGUAAACUGCUUUUAUUCGGGAAUAAACCUACUUACGUGUAAGUAGCUGAAUGUACCGAAGGAAUAAGGAUCGGCUAACUCCGUGCCAGCAGCCGCGGUAAUACGGAGGAUCCAAGCGUUAUCCGGAUUUAUUGGGUUUAAAGGGUGCGUAGGCGGCUUUUUAAGUCAGGGGUGAAAGACGGUGGCUCAACCAUCGCAGUGCCCUUGAUACUGAAGAGCUUGAAUGAAUUAGAGGUAGGCGGAAUGUGACAAGUAGCGGUGAAAUGCAUAGAUAUGUCACAGAACACCGAUUGCGAAGGCAGCUUACUAUGAUUUUAUUGACGCUGAGGCACGAAAGCGUGGGGAUCAAACAGGAUUAGAUACCCUGGUAGUCCACGCCCUAAACGAUGAAUACUCGCUGUUAGCGAUACACAGUUAGCGGCUAAGCGAAAGCGUUAAGUAUUCCACCUGGGGAGUACGGUCGCAAGAUUGAAACUCAAAGGAAUUGACGGGGGCCCGCACAAGCGGAGGAGCAUGUGGUUUAAUUCGAUGAUACGCGAGGAACCUUACCCGGGCUUGAAAGUUAGUGAAUCAUUUAGAGAUAGAUGAGUCCGCAAGGACACGAAACUAGGUGCUGCAUGGCUGUCGUCAGCUCGUGCCGUGAGGUGUUGGGUUAAGUCCCGCAACGAGCGCAACCCCUAUGUUUAGUUGCCAGCACGUUAAGGUGGGGACUCUAAACAGACUGCCUGUGCAAACAGAGAGGAAGGAGGGGACGACGUCAAGUCAUCAUGGCCCUUACGUCCGGGGCUACACACGUGCUACAAUGGAUGGUACAGAGGGCAGCAAGCUGGUAACAGCAAGCAAAUCUCCAAAAGCCAUUCACAGUUCGGAUAGAGGUCUGCAACUCGACCUCUUGAAGUUGGAUUCGCUAGUAAUCGUAUAUCAGCAAUGAUACGGUGAAUACGUUCCCGGGCCUUGUACACACCGCCCGUCAAGCCAUGGAAGUUGGGGGUACCUAAAGUAUGUAACCGCAAGGAGCGUCCUAGG